CCUACGGGUGGCAGCAGUGAGGAAUAUUGGUCAAUGGGCGGGAGCCUGAACCAGCCAAGCCGCGUGAGGGAAGAAGGUACAGCGUAUCGUAAACCUCUUUUGUCAGGGAACAAAGGCGGGGACUAGUCCCCGGAUGAGGGUACCUGAAGAAAAAGCAUCGGCUAACUCCGUGCCAGAAGCCGCGGUAAUACCGAGGAUGCGAGCGGUACACGGAAUCAAUGGGCGUAAAGAGCGCGUAGGCGGGAUAGUAAGUCCGAGUUUAAAUCAUAGGGCUUAACCAUAGAACUGCAUUUGAAACUGUUAUUCUAGAGUAUGGGAGAGGUAGGUGGAAUUCUUGGUGUAGGGGUAAAAUCCGUAGAGAUCAAGAGGAAUACUCAUUGCGAAGGCGACCUGCUAGAACAUAACUGACGCUGAUGCGCGAAAGCGUGGGGAGCAAACAGGAUUAGAUACCCCUGUAGU
Molecule: ribosomal RNA, 459 nt
Filed under: uncultured bacterium
Lineage: Bacteria
Description: partial 16S ribosomal RNA
Rfam family: Bacterial small subunit ribosomal RNA
Source: RNAcentral